CAGUUCGGAUUGUAGUCUGCAACUCGACUACAUGAAGCUGGAAUCGCUAGUAAUCGCGGAUCAGAAUGCCGCGGUGAAUACGUUCCCGGGUCUUGUACACACCGCCCGUCACACCAUGGGAGUCGGAAAUGCCCGAAGUCUGUGACCCAACCUUAGGGAGGGAGCAGCCGUAGGCAGGUCGGAUGACUGGGGUGAAGUCGUAACAAGGUAAC
This 212-nucleotide ribosomal RNA is filed under the name uncultured bacterium. Its description in RNAcentral is "partial 16S ribosomal RNA". It matches the Rfam family "Bacterial small subunit ribosomal RNA", at positions 1289 to 1500 of the family's 1533-position model. The record is from RNAcentral.